Molecule: unclassified non-coding RNA, 519 nt
Filed under: uncultured Glomeromycotina
Lineage: Eukaryota; Fungi; Glomeromycota
Description: SSU rRNA
Rfam family: Eukaryotic small subunit ribosomal RNA
Source: RNAcentral
CCAAUAGCGUAUAUUAAAGUUGUUGCAGUUAAAAAGCUCGUAGUUGAAUUUCGGGAUCAGUUGAUCGGUCGUGCCUCGGUACGUACUGGUCAAAUUGAUUCCUACCUUCUGACGAACCACGAUGUCAUUAAUUUGGUGUCGUGGGAAAUCAGGACUGUUACUUUGAAAAAAUUAGAGUGUUUAAAGCAGGCUCGCGCUUGAAUACAUUAGCAUGGAAUAAUGAAAUAGGACGUUUGAUUCUAUUUUGUUGGUUUCUAGGAUCGACGUAAUGAUUAAUAGGGAUAGUUGGGGGCAUUAGUAUUCAAUUGUCAGAGGUGAAAUUCUUGGAUUUAUUGAAGACUAACUACUGCGAAAGCAUUUGCCAAGGAUGUUUUCAUUAAUCAAGAACGAAAGUUAGGGGAUCGAAGACGAUCAGAUACCGUCGUAGUCUUAACCAUAAACUAUGCCGACUAGGGAUCGGAUGAUGUUAAUUUUUUAAUGACUCAUUCGGCGCCUUACGGGAAACCAAAGUGUUUGGUU